GGGAGGUUAGCUGAGUGGUUUUAGCAUUAACUUUACACGUUUUGUACAGGGUUUCGAUUACUCUACUUCUCA
Molecule: transfer RNA, 72 nt
Filed under: Flammulina velutipes
Lineage: Eukaryota; Fungi; Basidiomycota; Agaricomycetes; Agaricales; Physalacriaceae
Description: tRNA-Val
Rfam family: tRNA
About the family: Transfer RNA (tRNA) molecules are approximately 80 nucleotides in length. Their secondary structure includes four short double-helical elements and three loops (D, anti-codon, and T loops). Further hydrogen bonds mediate the characteristic L-shaped molecular structure. tRNAs have two regions of fundamental functional importance: the anti-codon, which is responsible for specific mRNA codon recognition, and the 3' end, to which the tRNAs corresponding amino acid is attached (by aminoacyl-tRNA synthetases). tRNAs cope with the degeneracy of the genetic code in two manners: having more than one tRNA (with a specific anti-codon) for a particular amino acid; and 'wobble' base-pairing, i.e. permitting non-standard base-pairing at the 3rd anti-codon position.
Source: RNAcentral